This is a non-coding RNA of Camellia sinensis, 647 nucleotides long. NCBI's taxonomy places the organism in Eukaryota, Viridiplantae, Streptophyta, Magnoliopsida, Ericales, Theaceae. The record is from RefSeq and is a predicted model, not a curated record.
UUUUCCCCCCCCCCCCCUGAAUGCAGGAAUAAAGGACAAGUAUCGUUCAUUGCUGAAAUUUUUUUCAUCAUGUAUCAGUCAUCUCAUAUCUAUUGUAUGCAUUGGAAGCACUUUGCAGGGGUGAUUUGAGUUGCCAACUCGCCUUUCAGUGGCUGCUGCUGAUUGCAUUUUAGCUCUCACUGAGGCAUUGACAAAAAAGGAUCUAGUGUCUGACGGAUCAGAUGAUAGGCUGAAACCAUCUAAUCCAAAUUUAUCAUUCCUGCCAAUUACUUCGGCACCUGCUGCUUUCGUUGAGAAGAAAGUGAAACCAACUAGUAGAUCUCCUGAUGUGUUAAACAACAUGGAGAUGAAGUUGUUGCUUUGGGAUCAUUUAGAUGAACUUAUUAUUCUUGUGCAGAGACUCGAUGCUUGGAGCAGAAAAAGCCGUUCUUUACAUGCAUACGGGUUGGAGAAAGUGCUUAAGUGGUUGCAAGGCACAAAAGGGCAUUAUGUGCACAUUCAAACUGAGGCUGGCAGGUUCACAAAUGCACAAGACUGGAGUUUUGCUUCUCUCUUCUCGUUGGAAACAUUAUGGCAUGUUGAUGCACUUGGAAGACUACAAAUUUUAUCAGCAUUACAAAGAAUUGGUGGACCAGUACCUGUCUGGG